RNAcentral lists this non-coding RNA (21 nucleotides) under Caenorhabditis elegans. Lineage: Eukaryota; Metazoa; Nematoda; Chromadorea; Rhabditida; Rhabditidae. The record is from RNAcentral.
UGUGAUUCAUCCAGUUCUUCA